This 528-nucleotide ribosomal RNA is filed under the name Alternaria alternata f. sp. mali. Its description in RNAcentral is "eukaryotic LSU rRNA". The stretch from base 153 to 306 matches the Rfam family "5.8S ribosomal RNA". The record is from RNAcentral. Lineage: Eukaryota; Fungi; Ascomycota; Dothideomycetes; Pleosporales; Pleosporaceae.
GGCGGGCUGGACCUCUCGGGGUUACAGCCUUGCUGAAUUAUUCACCCUUGUCUUUUGCGUACUUCUUGUUUCCUUGGUGGGUUCGCCCACCACUAGGACAAACAUAAACCUUUUGUAAUUGCAAUCAGCGUCAGUAACAAAUUAAUAAUUACAACUUUCAACAACGGAUCUCUUGGUUCUGGCAUCGAUGAAGAACGCAGCGAAAUGCGAUAAGUAGUGUGAAUUGCAGAAUUCAGUGAAUCAUCGAAUCUUUGAACGCACAUUGCGCCCUUUGGUAUUCCAAAGGGCAUGCCUGUUCGAGCGUCAUUUGUACCCUCAAGCUUUGCUUGGUGUUGGGCGUCUUGUCUCUAGCUUUGCUGGAGACUCGCCUUAAAGUAAUUGGCAGCCGGCCUACUGGUUUCGGAGCGCAGCACAAGUCGCACUCUCUAUCAGCAAAGGUCUAGCAUCCAUUAAGCCUUUUUUUCAACUUUUGACCUCGGAUCAGGUAGGGAUACCCGCUGAACUUAAGCAUAUCUAAAAGGCGGAGAA